GAUGAACGCUAGCUACAGGCUUAACACAUGCAUGUCGAGGGGCAGCGAGAGGGAAGCUUGCUUCCUUUGAUGGCGACCGGCGCGACGGGUGAGUAACGCGUAUCCAACCCUUCCCCUUACUAGAGGAUAGCCCGGCGAAAGUCGGAUUAAUACUCUAUGUUCUCCUUUGAUGGCAUCAGAUGAGGAGCAAAGAUUCAUCGGUAAGGGAUGGGGAUGCGUCUGAUUAGCUUGCCGGCGGGGUAACGGCCCACCGGGGCAACGAUCAGUAGGGGUUCUGAGAGGAAGGUCCCCCACAUUGGUACUGAGACACGGACCAAACUCC
This 322-nucleotide ribosomal RNA is filed under the name uncultured Prevotella sp. RNAcentral's name for it is "bacterial SSU rRNA". It matches the Rfam family "Bacterial small subunit ribosomal RNA", at positions 28 to 339 of the family's 1533-position model. The record is from RNAcentral. Lineage: Bacteria; Pseudomonadati; Bacteroidota; Bacteroidia; Bacteroidales; Prevotellaceae.